Long non-coding RNA from Passer domesticus (house sparrow), 3912 nucleotides. RefSeq lists it as uncharacterized. The record is from RefSeq and is a predicted model, not a curated record. NCBI's taxonomy places the organism in Eukaryota, Metazoa, Chordata, Aves, Passeriformes, Passeridae. The transcript has 2 exons.
GUGAAGGACCUGCAUUUUGUAGUUUAUAGUAUUUGUUUAGUUCUAACACAAGAUAGCUGUACUGAAGGGGAAAAAAUAAAGAAGCUAGUGAUACUGUGAAAAUCAGAGAGGCAAAAAGGGAGAUUGUGGCAAGCACUGAGCCAGAGGCUGUAAUCAAUUAGCUGAUUGCUGAACUUCAGUCCCCUGCAUUACAUCUGCCAGCAGCAGCAAAAGAUGUACAGCUGAAAAUUCCCCCUCACAAAACCACAAAGCCUGUGGAACUCUAGUCAUAAAUACUUCAAAAGGAAAGGGUCUGCUCCAGUGUAGAUUUCAACACCUUGAUAAUCAGCAGCCUUUCAGUAGUAUCCAUUUAUAAAUAGAAGAUCCUUGGAAUAGAGAGAUGUGAAUGCAGACGUCUGACGUAAUAAAGCUCAAACUAAUCUCCAGUAUUUUAUUAAGAAAUCAUUAGAUUGAACUGCUUCAGGUGAAAUCUUUCUCUAUUGAAGUUAGCAGCAAAAUUCCCUCUGACUUCACACAGCAAGAAAUAAAACCUUUUCAAGACAGUUAUUAAGCUGCAGAACAGCUAAAAGUAUUGGGGUGGCACCAUCAUACUACAAGAAGUGAAAGGAUAAAGCAAAGAAGAGCUGGUUGGCUGGGUUUCCCAUGCAACUCCAAGAAGAGCCAAGCCUCUUUUAGCCCACCAGAGACAAAGGCAUACAUACAAAUUUUCAGAAGAGCAUAAGCUGCAGUGAAAGCUGGAUGCUGCCAGCACUGGGUACUUCUCUUCCUCUCUGUCUGAGUAAAACUCAGGUUAUGACAUGCUUUCAACAUCCUGUCAAGAUCUGCUAAGUUCUUGUGUGAGCCAGCCUUUGCAGAUGUGCUGCACAAGGUCUUUUAUCGUGGCUUGUGCUGUGUUGCAGACCCAAAAUAUACCUGUUGUGCUUAAGAGAAAAUGCAAAAAACAUUGUCACUUCAAAGCAGAUCUCAUUUCUGGCAGCAAGGAGAUGAAGCCAGUUAUUUCAGUAACACAACUUUCAGAUCUCAGAUUUCAUGAUUUCUCAAAAAAUUUAGUUGAGUCAAUUUUUGUCUUUUACACUGUACACUAAAAGUCUGCUUUUUGGAAGACUCUUCCCACACCAGCUGUCUUCUGCCAUAUCACUGCAGCACUGGCUGUGGUAGGCAUGCUGGGAUAGGAAAGGGAUGUCAAAUAGAGAGGAGACAGAUAUGCACAUAGGAGAACUGCACAUAGAAGUACUAAACUUAUCAGUAGUAUCUGGCAAUUAAAGGUAUCUUAGACACAAAAAAUUAUUAAAGGGAGGUGGAUGUUUCUAGCAUAUUUCCCUGUGAGAUGAGUGCAUGCUUUGAAAUUGCUGGUAGGAAAGAAAGGUAGCAGCAAUAAAGUUAGCACACAAACACCAUCUGUGAAAGCCAGAAAGCAUCUAUAGAUCCUCUGUAUGCUAGAGGCUUAUUGCAUCAUGUAUGAGAAGGGAUAGAAAAAACCCAGAAAGAGAAAGAAGAGAGGGAAAUACAGAGUCAGCCUUUCCCAACCCCCCCAAAAAUGCAUGAUAAAGCUGAGAAGUAAAUAUGAAUUAAAAAAUACUGUACAGACCAUCUUAACACUGUUAUGUUACUGCCAUACAAAUCAUACGCAUUUUUCAUGUUGUGGAGAUCAAAUGAAUUAUUGCCAAUUUAACACAAAGCUUCAGCCUGAGGCACUAUCUAUGUAAAAACUAACUCUAUCCUGAAGACACAAUUUAAAUAGAAAACCUCCUAGAUUAUUGGUAACAAGGUUGCACUCCAAACAAGGAGGGAGUAUGCUGGAAGUCAGGAGAAUUUUGCUGGAAAUCUGUAAACCACAUCUACUGCCUACAGAAAUGAGCAACUAAUAAAGCCCUCCAGCUCAUGCUCCUUGCCCAGCAGCAAUCUUUAAGUCAGUUCCCUGGAUUCCUCUGUCUCUGCCCAAUAACCAUCACUUAACUUUUCUAUUUUCUUCCCACUGUGCUCUGCUCCCAGUACACAACAGUGGGCAACACCUGAAUUUAUAUGGAAAUGCAAAGACAGGGUCAUCUCAGGCCCUAAAAUACAAUAUUGAUAGUCCCAGCCAUAGAUUUCCGUCAUUUCACCCAACUACAAUGACUCCAACUCUCUUGGACAUUUCUGUUCCCAAGGCCACUCACUUUUCCUCCUGUGCUCUGCAAUAUCAGUAAAUAUACUACAAGGUCAUCUCUGGUGCUGUUGGUUACAAAGUUGUCAGUGGAGACGGUCAUUGAGGAGGCUUUGUUAAGCAUGUACUUGUUCCCGUAACCAGAACAGUUUUCCUCUCCGGUUUUUGUUUUUGUUUUUCUCAUUACCCUCCACUCUGCUGGUUUAUACUUUAUAUAUCCUCUAAAGACCUCUCAGAGUGUAAUUUGAUUGCUGUUGGGGAAAGAAAAGUACCCAUGAAUGGAAAAUUCUACUUUCUGCUCUUUCUAGUAGACAAUAGCAGAGAAUAUUUGCCUCUGGAGACUUAUUUUUAUUUAUUGAUAGAAGAUAUCCAUCUCAGUUCACCAUUUCCAUGCCUGUACCUUCACUUGUAUUUUUCAUUUUGAGCACUUCAUAGCCAUGCAGUUAACUGUGGAUUGCAGUCUUAUGUGGUUUUGUCCCUGCAAUGCCCUGGUGAAUUGGGAAAUGUCACUGUACUGACUUUAUAGGCAACACAUUAAGCAUCAAUACAUUGUGAGCUCAGGCUUGUGAAAAAGCCAUUCAUCACAAAUGUGCCAAUUCUCUAUAGGCAUAUGCAAAGCUUGUCCCAAAUGCAGGAUAACUCAGAUCUGGCUUUUCCUGGGAUGGUUCUGUAACUCUUAAAAAUAACAGAAAAAAACUAAAUGUUACCUUCUUUUGCUACAUACUAAGUUAAUGUUAUAUACUAAGUUAAUUACUAUAUACUAAGUUAAUCUAGCCAUUGUUGUUGACUUAAUUUUUAUAACAUUUUACCCUGCUUUUUUACUAAUUGUCCCAAAUUUACAGUGAAAAAUGUAGCAAAUAAAGAAAUGGAAUCUUGCUUACUUUUCUAUUAUCUCAGGCUGACUGAUGGAAUAUCCGUACCUUACUAUCUUUCAGUAUUUUUCGAUGUGAUGCUUGAUUUAAUAUAGAAUCUUUCAUGUUUAGGCAUCUCAGAGGGUGUUUAACAAAAAAAUGACACCACAUCUGCUGCAGUGUAGUUUGAGGUGUGUAGGAUCGAAAGGGCAGAGAGGAAAGCAUGUUUCAAAAGGACAGCAUAGGAAAAAGGUGAAAUGCAUUAUCUAUCAUUGUUACUUCAAAAUCUUGUGUUUCAGAGCCAUGAAGUGCAGCAAAUUACACAUAAACUCAGCUAUUAAUGUUGAUGUAAGAGAUUCUGUUGUGACAGCAUUGGAAUAAAUACCAUAGGUAUAUUCAUGAAUAUAAAAUUUGAUAUGUAGCAAAUUCCUGUUUAGGAACAAACCUAAUGUCAUUAUAGAUUUUGGAAAUAUUGUCUGACAUGUUUGGCAAUGCACUGUCAGGAUGAAUUAGAUCCCACCUUUGUUUGCAGAAUGAUGCUGUCGCAAACAAGCAAAGAGUAAAAACUGUCUUGCUCUGUUGCAGACUGCAGCCCAUUUUCUGUGCCAAAAGUGUGGCAAAAGAACGGCCCAGAUACAAAGCAGCAUGUAAUGCCAAAGGUAAACUGACACUGUGAGCAACACAGUUAAAAAGGAUUGUUCAUUAUUGCUCCAAGACACCACGGACAUUAUUCUCUCUUGGCUAGGUUUUGGACUCUCCACCCUGAGUAAACUGUCAGCACACAUCUGUGCCAUGCCUGCAUCUCUAGUCAGCUUUAUAUUUUGUGAAGUAUCAGUUUGGGCCUACUACUUUACAGUCUUUGUUAUGUUUAACACCACAAUAUCUCAGGAAAAAAAAAAAAAACAAAAAAAAAAGAAA